This 297-nucleotide long non-coding RNA is filed under the name Mastacembelus armatus (zig-zag eel). RNAcentral describes it as "lncRNA (ENSMAMG00000028407.1)". Lineage: Eukaryota; Metazoa; Chordata; Actinopteri; Synbranchiformes; Mastacembelidae. The record is from RNAcentral.
AAAUAACUUGUGAUUUUGCUGAGCUUGCAGUGACUUUCUCCACAGGUUAUGUUGGUGGAGCAGGAAACUACUUGGGAGCGAGCCUGGGCCCUGGGGCCUAUGGACCAGGUUUGGGACAGGGAGUGUAUCUGGGUGGUGCAGCUGGCAAACUUGGAGCUCCUGCUGCACUUGGACAGGGCUAUGGUGAGGGAACAACAGGAUACCUGGGUGCUGUAGCAGGCAAUGGCUUUGGUAAGUGGGAAUUCAAAUCCUCCCAGUAAACUGUGCUCUGCAAGUUACUUAGGGGAACAUAGAAGA